GGUGCCUGUGAUGGCUUUUGCAGCUCUUGGGGCUGGUGACCAUAGAGUGCUCUGGCUUGUGAGGCUAGAGGGAGCCCUCGUGCAUUGGCAUGGGCUAUUGCUCUGCUUCCUGUGCAAUGCAUUCUGGUAUAAUUGAGGAUUUCCUCCCCCUUAUCCCUGCUGCUGAUUGUGCUGAGCUGAUCAUUUGGGUGUGCAAUUGGCAGAAGCAAAAGGAACCUCUGAUCAUCUGGUAGAAGCUAUCCCAUCCUAGUCCUGUGGUAGAAGAAAAGUCAAAGAAGAGUGUGUCCUGUGGAGAGGAGAAGUGAAGUUCAGACCAGAAGUCAACCAGUAAGCAGGUGCACCUGUAGGCCAAGCUAAAGAAGGACAACAGAAGAAGGCUGCUUUUCUGAGGGUAUAGUGGGGCUAGUGUGGAAUAGGGGCCAAAAUAUAGGAUCUGAGUAUUCGCUGAAAAAUCCACUUGAGAAGCUCACUGAAUAGCUUUGAGCAAGCAACUAUCUCACGACUUACCCUACUUCACAGGGUUGUUCUAAAGUAAAUAAAAUACUAUUCAGAGCAGCUUGGAAGAUGGAUAGGAAGGAUAUAAAUAAGUGUCCCAUUCUGCCCAGGAACCAACCAGCUGCUCACCAGACCUUUGUGAUCUUAACCAACUCUGGGCUGAACUAGAGUCUACUCCUAGUGACUUUGGCUCUUCCAUCAUAAAACUGUAAGCUGAGCUUCAAUUCAAGCACAUAUAAAAUGGAUUUUGUUGAAUCAU
Molecule: long non-coding RNA, 754 nt
Organism: Hemicordylus capensis (graceful crag lizard)
Lineage: Eukaryota; Metazoa; Chordata; Lepidosauria; Squamata; Cordylidae
Exons: 2
Source: RefSeq, a predicted model, not a curated record